RNAcentral lists this unclassified non-coding RNA (217 nucleotides) under Hevea brasiliensis (rubber tree). The record is from RNAcentral. Lineage: Eukaryota; Viridiplantae; Streptophyta; Magnoliopsida; Malpighiales; Euphorbiaceae.
CGGACAUCUCCACCUUUAAACAUAUACUGAUACUGAACUUGAACCUUCAAUAUCUGCUAAUGGAUCUCAAUAAUCUCUUCAUUUCUCUCACUCCAUCAUGGACUUCGGUGUCUAUGUUGAUCGGAUUUUUUCUCUAUUUAGCUACCGUUGGAUCUAUUCUACCCGGAAAACUUGUUCCUGGGGCGACUUUAUCUGAUGGAACUCGACUCCAUUAUCG